This 550-nucleotide long non-coding RNA is filed under the name Homo sapiens (human). RNAcentral's name for it is "non-protein coding lnc-TRIM16-1:5". Lineage: Eukaryota; Metazoa; Chordata; Mammalia; Primates; Hominidae. The record is from RNAcentral.
GUUUCCGGCCCCUUUCUCUGGAGGAUCUCCGCGCGUGGCGAGUCUGUGUCCUCCCUGUCCCCCAGAGCAGACACCCUCUCUGUGUCUGGACCGGGGAGGAGCAGACGCUGGACAGGUGUCUGACUCUGCAGGGCCCUAGUGGUAUAAAGGUACUGAGACUUGCCUGUGUUCAGGGCUUCCUGAAGAUUAAAUGGCUGCCGAAGUUCUUGAGUUUAGCUUUAGCUCAAAAGAUACUGCGUCAGACUCUGCGUUCUGAGUAGAGUCUCAGAGAAUGAAAAAAGAAAUACAAUGAAAAAGGGGAAAACUUCAAUCCAGAACCUCUUACCACAGUUUCUGGUAGAAUGCUGGCAAUUUCCAGGAAGAUACGUGGAGAACGGAAAGGUUGCUACACCCAAAUAGUGAAGCAAAGGCUAUGAUUAUGGAGGAUUGGACCUGCAAACUCCAGAACAGAGCAACCUUGUAAAAUGUGUGUGGGCAGCACAGAGAACUUGGGCAAGUUAACAGUUUCCUCAUCUGUGAAUACUGAUUUAUGGAAAGCACCUGGUGCGUG